UAGGGGCCCUAGUGUUGCAAGUUGGC
RNAcentral lists this non-coding RNA (26 nucleotides) under Mus musculus (house mouse). Lineage: Eukaryota; Metazoa; Chordata; Mammalia; Rodentia; Muridae. The record is from RNAcentral.